This 253-nucleotide ribosomal RNA is filed under the name uncultured bacterium. RNAcentral describes it as "partial 16S ribosomal RNA". It matches the Rfam family "Bacterial small subunit ribosomal RNA", at positions 524 to 776 of the family's 1533-position model. The record is from RNAcentral.
UACGUAGGGUGCAAGCGUUGUUCGGAAUUACUGGGCGUAAAGGGCGCGUAGGCGGCCUGUUAAGUCGAACGUGAAAUCCCUGGGCUCAACCCAGGAACUGCGUCCGAUACUGGCAGGCUUGAAUUCGGGAGAGGGAUGUGGAAUUCCAGGUGUAGCGGUGAAAUGCGUAGAUAUCUGGAGGAACACCGGUGGCGAAGGCGGCAUCCUGGACCGAUAUUGACGCUGAGGCGCGAAAGCCAGGGGAGCAAACGGG